UGGACAGCAUUUUUCUAUUGGUCGAUAAUUCCGUUAGUUACACACAUUAUUCAAUCAAAAGCAUUCUGCAAAGAAGGCGUAUCGAAAGGGUUCGGGGGUUUGUGGCUGAUGUCUGUGUGUAUCGUCUCAUGCAAGCGAGCACACGUGUUGAGGAACUCUCCGUUGGUGGUACCCCCUUGCCCAGUUUGUUCAACGACCCUUAUACCAGCCUUGUCCAUAGGCACAAAUUGAUGACACACCUGGAGUCACAUACACGCUUCUGACUCAACGAUGGACCUUCGGGGUUUCUGUUCCAUGGACUGUUUUUACAAAAGUUUCUGAGUUGACAUUCUUACAGAUUCAUGGAAGCAGUAGGUCAUUACUCUCCAAUUAUGGGAAGAGGUUGAAAACAUGAGCGGCCUGCAUCACAAAGCAGGAAUACUGAGUUAGCUGGAUAAUUGCGCUAAGUAAACUCAGAAACCUCCAAAAUAUAGAACAUGGAUUGAUGUUAAAAGCUGUUCCGAGUUUUGCUCACUGCAAUUAUCCAGAUAAUUAUGUAAUCCUGGUCUGUGAUACAGGCCAGUGGAGCAAUACUACUGUAAAGCUUGUUUUUCAGAACUAUUCUUAUGCUUUUUUUUUUUUUUUGACUAUUCUUUACAAUUUUAAGUUUUGCAAAUGUUUCAACAUUAAUGCUGAAACAUGAGUAGUGUUUGGCUGAUUACUAUAUUUGAUUGGUACGUGUUAGGCUGUAUCUUGUUCUUCAGGUGUAAGCUUACUUGACACCCUGAUGUUAGAUAGAAAAAGCAAAAUAUUACAGUAUUAUUUUAGACACAGCUUACUUCCAUCUUAACUCAGCAUGAUCCAUCUGUUCAACAUGGCAACUGAAACAUUGGGUGAUUUUGGAGCGCUAGGAAAUGUUAGAAGAGAUUGGAGAGAGUCUGAAGGCACCAAUCAUUGUGUUUUUAUCAUGAUGCCAAAACAAAAAGAUCUGUAAGAUGCGCCUCUAUCCAGGGGCCCUGGAACAAAUGACCUUGUUGGUUCCUCAGCAGUGUCAUUAUGGCCAGUGGGCUUACACAACACAUGUAAUACUUGCUGUUGCUAUGCUAGGGUACUGAGGUAUGUAAAUAUAAAUUAAUAUGAUAAGAAUCGUGGAAUAGGGCAUAAUACUUACAGAGAGUUGAGACUAACUAAACCAGUAGUAUACAUAUAUCAAAAUGAAACAUUGAGGUUAUUAAAUCUGUUGAAAUUAAUGAAAUACUGAUUUAAAAAUAUUAAGUCAUGAGGUCCUGGGUUUUCAUAAUGAUGAACAAAUGGAGGAUUUGUUUUUUCAUUCUGCCAUAAAUAGAUGGCCCAUCCUAUGCAUACUUAUACAGUUAUUAUUUAGUUCUCUUUUAGUAAUUCAUGCAACUAGUAUGUUAUGCAUAAUAGACACAGGUGUGAGCAAUAGGUGCAGGCUACAAUGCGUAUUCUAGGCAAUGAAUAAUAUUUGAUUAAUACUUAAGUUUCAAACAUCAGUUUGAUUUUAUCAGUAUCAUGAAACCAAAACCAAUCAUAAUUGGGAUAGCGGGUAUGCCAAGUUACAGCUUGGCGGGGCAUGCCCCUUACCUAUACAGCACAGCCUGUUUGGCACUUUUCAGGGUUUCCUACAGAAAUAACCAUAAUGACCACAGACUCUCAGCCUUAAAAAACUGUAACUUCUGUACCUUCUGACCUUAUGUAAACACACUGGAUUCAGAUACACAUGUACACAAUAAAGCCCCAAACCUGGGUUAUUUAGCAUU
This is a long non-coding RNA of Anguilla anguilla (European eel), 1760 nucleotides long. RefSeq lists it as uncharacterized. The transcript has 2 exons. The record is from RefSeq and is a predicted model, not a curated record. NCBI's taxonomy places the organism in Eukaryota, Metazoa, Chordata, Actinopteri, Anguilliformes, Anguillidae.